CUCAAAAUUUCGCCGCCCCAAUUUCCCCCCAAAAUCGAAAAUUUCAGGAAAAUCCAUCAAACCCCUCCUCUCCCCAAACCCAAACCCCAACCCCAACAUCCUCCUCUUGUUCCGUUCCAUCUCCUCCCUGAGCCCGUCCCAAAACCCUAGCAGCCUUAGCGGCCCCCCUCCCUCGACCUCCGCCGGGUUCAGCACCGACGACCAACUCUUCCUCCUCCGACGACUCUUCUGGCUUUUUUUCGAGGUUUUCUCCCCCUUGUCGCCUGAUCGCUGAGAUUCCUCCUCCAUUUGAGGAGGAGGAGGACAGGAAGGAGUCGGGGAGCGCGAAUUUUGAGCGAGGGCCUUUUGGAGCCUGGAAUUCGAAGUGAAAUCUUAACUAGUUCAGUUCACAUGCCGGAGCCUCGAGGAUUGGUUUCGCCUUCGAUUUCGUCUUCGACUUCUCGAUCUCUGCACUCUAUCUCUGUUAUUGAAAUUGUUUCAUAUGCUCACUGCUGUUAUUACAUUUGUGGAGUUCCUUGCAGUGUCAGUCAUUUGUUCCCUAUAUAUGAGAUUUAUUGUAUAGAAAAAAAAUUAUGUUUAUAGUUCUGAUAUUGUAUAUCUUGUUGUAUAUGCUCCACCAAGCUGGAGGUGUGUAACAUGCUAGCAAUUACUCUGGAUAUGGCAUUGCAGGUUAUUCUCUUGGACACUAGAUACCAUAGGGAUCCAUUUUUCAGCGAUGGAAGUAUAUUGGGUGAGACACAAUGGGAGUGGUUACAACAGGAAUUGAGUGGUGCUGGAUCAGAGAUUACCAUUAUAGCAUCUUCUAUUCAGAGAAAUGGAAUCUUCUUUAUCAGUGGUGAUGUUCACUUUGGAGAGAUUUGCACGUUAUGACUGUGGUACUGAUUAUCCUUUGUAUGACAUAACGUGAAGUGGACUUAGUCUGUCGAGAAUGUUGUGCCCCAGCCACUACCUUUCCUUAUUAGAGCUGCAGCAUGGUUGAUACCAUCUACUCUGAGAGUGUAUUCCCCAAAGUGCCGAUACAAAUCAUGCACGCUACUCAUAUUAGCGUCGGGGUUGAUGUUUGUAUGAGUUAUGAGAGGAGACUCUACUUCAAUCUCCCAAGAGUGCAGCAUGUUCUUCAUGCCAACAGAACAAAAUUGCCUUAUAGGAUGUCAAUGUGCAGUCAGCGAGUAUUCCUAUUUCUUGAAUUCAUAUGACCUUAUCCAUUAUUUUUUAUAACUAUUGUGCGUAAUGUUGUGCGAUAGAGCAUACAGAACCUCUUGUAAAUAAAUAAUGUAAAAGUUUGUAAACAAUUUAUGUAUCUCUCUACUAUUUUGAUGAAUGUAU
Asparagus officinalis (garden asparagus) is the source of this 1326-nucleotide long non-coding RNA. RefSeq lists it as uncharacterized. The transcript is spliced from 4 exons. NCBI's taxonomy places the organism in Eukaryota, Viridiplantae, Streptophyta, Magnoliopsida, Asparagales, Asparagaceae. The record is from RefSeq and is a predicted model, not a curated record.